Molecule: ribosomal RNA, 497 nt
Filed under: uncultured bacterium
Lineage: Bacteria
Description: partial 16S ribosomal RNA
Rfam family: Bacterial small subunit ribosomal RNA
Source: RNAcentral
GAUGAACGCUGGCGGCGUGCCUAAUACAUGCAAGUCGAGCGACCAGACGAGGAGUUUGCUCCUCUGACGUUAGCGGCGGACGGGUGAGUAACACGUGGAUAACCUACCUAUAAGACUGGGAUAACUUCGGGAAACCGGAGCUAAUACCGGCUAAUAUCUUGAACCGCAUGGUUCCAUAGUGACAGCCGGUUUUGCUGUCACUUAUAGAUGGAUCCGCGCCGCAUUAGCUAGUUGGUAAGGUAACGGCUUACCAAGGCAACGAUGCGUAGCCGACCUGAGAGGGUGAUCAGCCACACUGGAACUGAGACACGGUCCAGACUCCUACGGGAGGCAGCAGUAGGGAAUCUUCCGCAAUGGGCGAAAGCCUGACGGAGCAACGCCGCGUGAGUGAUGAAGGUCUUCGGAUCGUAAAACUCUGUUAUUAGGGAAGAACAAAUGUGUAAGUAACUAUGCACGUCUUGACGGUACCUAAUCAGAAAGCCACGGCUAACUACGUG